UACGGGGGGGGCAAGCGUUGUUCGGAAUUACUGGGCGAAAAGGGCUCGUAGGUGGCCAACUAAGUCAUACGUGAAAUCCCUCGGCUUAACCGGGGAACUGCGUCUGAUACUGGAUGGCUUGAGUUUGGGAGAGGGAUGCGGAAUUCCAGGUGUAGCGGUGAAAUGCGUAGAUAUCUGGAGGAACACCGGUGGCGAAGGCGGCAUCCUGGACCAACACUGACACUGAGGAGCGAAAGCCAGGGGAGCAAACGGG
Molecule: ribosomal RNA, 253 nt
Filed under: uncultured bacterium
Lineage: Bacteria
Description: partial 16S ribosomal RNA
Rfam family: Bacterial small subunit ribosomal RNA
Source: RNAcentral